UUAAGAAUUAAUCUUUAGUUUAAGUGCGAUAAGGGUCGGUUUGUCAUUUUGUUUGCUGUGAGAAGCUGGAGUAAAAUCAAAUCCCACAAAUUUCUCUCUUUCCAUUGAAAUGGCGAUUCGAACGAGAAAAUAUUUGAGUAUUUUGCCUACACCAUUUUUCUUUUCAUUGUUAUCUAAUCUUCUGAAUUUGUUUAAGAAAGAAACGAUUGGAGGAGAUUGAAGAGGAAGCGGCUACGCUUCGUGAAAUGCAGGCCAAAGUUGAGAAGGGGAUGGAUCUGUUCAAGAAAAUAAAGAAUGAAUGGAAAGAACACAUGAUGUACCAGUGGGCGAGGUGUGUGUUUCGCUGUCAUAGUGCUCUUCUUGCCAACACAAGUCUGUGCAUAUCUUGAAAGAUAGGCUUUAUAGUAAAUAAAGGGUGAAAUAACAUAUCUUGCCAACGCAGAUCUGAAGGAUUUUCUCAUUAGUUAAUGGUAUUGUUCCUGCAUCUCUCUUCAAAUUUUCUCCUCCAAAAUGAACUUUCGGUUCCCCUGAAGAUGAUAUUCAGAGUUUUCUAUUGUCGCUACAAAUUAUUAGCUAGUAAAAGCCUUGAAAAUAAUUGGUUUUAGAGAUCUGAAAAUUGCUGUUCCAGUAGGAUGUUUAAAGAUUUUUGAGACGAUCUGUAGUUUCAAGCAGCAGCAGAAAAAUGGGUGAGACGAAGGAGAUCUUUAGUUUUAAUAAUUGUUUGUUAAGUAAUUGUUCUUAUGAACCUAAUGUUCAGUUAGUAAUUCAUGUAAGUUCAUUACAA
This is a long non-coding RNA of Salvia miltiorrhiza (redroot sage), 784 nucleotides long. RefSeq lists it as uncharacterized. The record is from RefSeq and is a predicted model, not a curated record. Lineage: Eukaryota; Viridiplantae; Streptophyta; Magnoliopsida; Lamiales; Lamiaceae. The transcript has 2 exons.